RNAcentral lists this transfer RNA (539 nucleotides) under uncultured cyanobacterium. RNAcentral describes it as "partial miscellaneous RNA". The stretch from base 211 to 283 matches the Rfam family "tRNA". The record is from RNAcentral. Lineage: Bacteria; Bacillati; Cyanobacteriota.
CAGGGAGACAACAAAAUGUUUAUAUUAUUAUUUUGUCACCUUAGGUCGAUCGGUAUCUCACGUUUUUAAUUUAUUAAGAAUUUCAUUUCCUAAGUUUUUCUAGGUCACACCCAUUAUUUUUCCUGGGCCAUUAGCUCAGGUGGUUAGAGCGCACCCCUGAUAAGGGUGAGGUCCCUGGUUCAAGUCCAGGAUGGCCCAUAUCUCUAUGUUGGGGGUAUAGCUCAGUUGGUAGAGCGCCUGCUUUGCAAGCAGGAUGUCAGCGGUUCGAGUCCGCUUACCUCCACUGAUUACCACCUCUUCCAUAAUCGGUAGAAAGGAAACGUUUUGAGUAGUGAUCAAAUUCUGAAAGAAUCUAGCUUCCUAAUGGAAUCAUUAAGAUGCUGGACUCAUUGAAUUAAUUUCAUUGUUUUCAGAGAACCUUGACAACUGCAUAGAUUAUUUUUAAAGACAAUAAGCAUCUUUAAUGAUGCAGAUUUAUUAUUUGUGCGAAUGCAUUAAGAACAAUUCUAUUAAGCUGAUGCUUCAAUUAUGAAGUUAUU